Molecule: ribosomal RNA, 497 nt
Filed under: uncultured bacterium
Lineage: Bacteria
Description: partial 16S ribosomal RNA
Rfam family: Bacterial small subunit ribosomal RNA
Source: RNAcentral
GAUGAACGCUGGCGGCGUGCCUAAUACAUGCAAGUCGAGCGAACAGACGAGGAGCUUGCUCCUCUGACGUUAGCGGCGGACGGGUGAGUAACACGUGGAUAACCUACCUAUAAGUCUGGGAUAACUUCGGGAAACCGGAUCUAAUACCGGAUAACAUGUUGAACCGCAUGGUUCAACAGUGAAAGACGGUUUUGCUGUCACUUAUAGAUGGAUCCGCGUCGCAUUAGCUAGUUGGUAAGGUAACGGCUUACCAAGGCAACGAUGCGUAGCCGACCUGAGAGGGUGAUCGGACACACUGGAACUGAGACACGGUCCAGACUCCUAAGGGAGGCAGCAGUAGGGAAUCUUCGGCAAUGGGCGGAAGCCUGACGGAGCACAGCCGCGUGAGUGAAGAAGGUCUUCGGAUCGUAAAACUCUGUUAUUAGGGAAGAACAAAUGUGUAAGUAACUAUGAACGUCUUGACGGUACCUAAUCAGAAAGCCACGGCUAACUACGUG